RNAcentral lists this ribosomal RNA (499 nucleotides) under uncultured Glomeromycotina. Its description in RNAcentral is "partial small subunit ribosomal RNA". It matches the Rfam family "Eukaryotic small subunit ribosomal RNA", at positions 591 to 1092 of the family's 1831-position model. Lineage: Eukaryota; Fungi; Glomeromycota. The record is from RNAcentral.
CCAAUAGCGUAUAUUAAAGUUGUUGCAGUUAAAAAGCUCGUAGUUGAAUUUCGGGAUCAAUAUAUCGGUCGUGCCUUGGUACGUACUGGUAUCAUUGGUUUCUCCUUUCUGACGAACCAUGAUGUCAUUAAUUUGGUGUUAUGGGAAGUUAGGACUGUUACUUUGAAAAAAUUAGAGUGUUUAAAGCAGGCUUUAGCUUGAAUACAUUAGCAUGGAAUAAUGAAAUAGGACGUUCGAACCUAUUUUGUUGGUUUCUAGGAUCAACGUAAUGAUUAAUAGGGAUAGUUGGGGGCAUUAGUAUUCAAUUGUCAGAGGUGAAAUUCUUGGAUUUAUUGAAGACUAACUACUGCGAAAGCAUUUGCCAGGGAUGUUUUCAUUAAUCAAGAACGAAAGUUAGGGGAUCGAAGACGAUCAGAUACCGUCGUAGUCUUAACCAUAAACUAUGCCGACUAGGGAUCGGAUGAUGUUAAUUUUUUAAUGACUCAUUCGGCGCCUUACG